AGAACAUCUUACUAUUAGAUGCUAAAGUUUGUCAUUUUUCAUACAUGUAGGAGUACUAUUUACAUAUUGGCAAAAAGUGAUUCAUUUUUUGCGUUGUGUCUCGUGUCCUCCUUAGCAAUCUUUGACCAAAAAGACCACCUGCAAAAUCGUGAAGUAAUGAUUAAAUGUUAAUCCAUAUAUUAGACUAAGCGCAAACUUGUCUUAGUGGUAUAGUUCUUGUCAAUUACAUAAUAAGAAAAACAUUAGAUGUCUUAAAUUGGACAAUUUAAAUUUUUUAUAAUGGAACUGCAGAUUUUAUUUGUCAAUUACACACCUUUUCAAAUAUUGUCUAUCUUUGUGCAUAUGGUUAAUUGUGCCUGAACUUUAAUCAACUAAGAUCAAAGAGUAAUAAUAAUAAUAACUCUGUCAAAGAAGCCAGAAAGAAAAUAGCCAUUGAAGUUGGCUGUAACAUAGCUUUCAAUCAUAAUCAAAGUAAUGACUGAAGAACAAAGAGCAGGACUUUGAAGUUUUCAAGGUAGAAGAAAGAAAGGGACCAAAUAGUUCUUCGUGUACACUUUUGGUUAUUUAAAAUAUUAAACAUGUUCGACCUUAACUUUAGUAGGUCUUUUCAUUUUACAGUCAUAUCUCUUUGGCUAACUUGUUCUCUGUGUUGUUUUUUAAUUUGGCUGCUUCGGAUUUUAAAGGUGCGAAGUACCAGUAUAAUGCUUCAAAAAUAAUACAAUUUGAAGAAUCAAAAGCACAUAGCAACUUAUAAAAUUAUUGUGGUAAACUUUAGAUAGCACUUAUGUGUUUACCUUAACAGAAUAAACCACGGAUACUGGCACAUAGAAGAACCAGAACUUGAGGUGUCUUUGAGGUUCAAAAAGAAUGUGCGAGUUAUUGAGAAUGCAUAUGCAACAUCUUAUGUGAAACAAAAUUAAGAGUAAAAGUAAAACUUAAUUUUAUCCAAGAAACUUUCAAGGCUCAAACCAGUCUCUUAAGCUGCCCAAUAAGUUGGUAAUCACCGAGGAAGGUAUCAUACCCAAUAAGACAGAUACAUUGGAUUUUGGGAAAAUCUCAAAAAAUUAUUGUAGAUUAUGCUUGUAACUGACAUACCUCUUUAAGACGCUAUUUGUGCUCUUGCCGUAUAAGGAAACACAUUCACAUGUUUUCACAUAUGUUCAAUUGACCAGCCAUUCUGUCAAGCAUACAUGAGCUUCAUAUGUGACAUGUAAUUCAAAUCCAGUCAUACUGCUAUCCACUAUCUAUCCUGUAAUGAUAAUCGAAUUCGAUAUGAAAUAAGUAAUACUGUCUUCCUUAAUAAUCAUAAUUAUAACCAAAUCAAAUGUUCAAAAUAAAAACACAGAAGAGGUAUUAAGCAUGAGAACAAUUCACUUAACAGAUUACACAACUAAAAAACACCCUGUCAAAAGCUUGGAUAGAAUUUUUCAUGAAUAAUUAUGAGGAACCCGAAAAUUGGUAAGAUCUCAGCAAGCACUGGUCCAAGCUUUGAGGCACAAGUUUGUAUAUUCAAACUAAAUGUUCAGGUGAUGUUAAAUCUAUUUCAUAUACCUAAUUUUCUUAUAUUCUCACCAUUCUCCUACACAGUCGGGCAAAUAAAUAAUGAAUAUUGUAGAAUACUUAUACUGCGUAGAUUUCUCAAGAACUCAAUGCAGAGCAAAUUCUGUAAGCUUUUAAUCAAGUGUCAAUGUGUUCUUUGAAGCCUAAACCAACUAUGGAGAUACAAUCAGUUUAAUAAUAUAAAUCCACCUAAAUUGCUCAGAAUGAGAACAAUAUUAUAACUUUGAAGAACAAAUCUCAUUCUUAAGCAAAUAUCUGCCUUUUGUUCUGAAUUCAAAUGAUAUGAUAGUAAACAUAAAGAACAGAUACUACACUCCACAAUUUGCUUCUUGUUGAAUAGUCUUGAGUUAACAUUUGAUUUCUUGUUGCAGGUUGUAUUUGCAACUUUGUCAGUGUCUAAUUAAGUGCAUGAUAUUCUUAAUUUUGAGACUUCUCACUUGAAAAUACUUAUCAAUCACCUAAUCCUAUUUGGCAACAUUAUCAUUAUUCAUUGCCGUAUGGAUAUUAGCAGCCAAUACACGCAUUCUCAGAAAUUACUGUUUUUCUUAAAUUUUCUGUUCGUUAAUACUUUAGUACUGAAGUCUUUAACGUGAUUGUUAGUUCAUGCAUAAAGUUGGCAUUAUUUUCUAUAUGGCCUUCUUAAUAUUUCCUAGGCAAAAUAGUUGACGUAGUCAUAUUGCUGUGCAGGGUAUACUUACAUCCCCUUCUUUUUCCCUUUCUUUUACCUGAGGCAGCUCCACACUGCAUAUAUUGAAAAUAGUUCAUGGCUUCUACUGUAUCAGGGCCUUGAACAUAACUUUCGAGGAAUUUUAUUCACAAAGCUUCUGAUAUUGUCCGAUUUGGUGCCAUUAACAUAUUUAUAGCUUAUACACACUAUUUAUCUACCUAAAUUCAGAUAAUUUAAGAUUACAAAAGGUAACUCCAAACUACAUCUCAGUAUUACCCAUGUAAACUUCCACCCAUUACUAUAAUUGAAAGAAUUAUAUCUCAAAAUAGCCAAUCAGCGGUCUGAAAACUCCAAACAUGCUUACACCUUGGACAAAUCACUCUGAGCGUUUACUUGGUUCGGAUAGUCAAGAAGACGAAGUAGGAAACUGGAGGAUAAUAAUACCAAUACUAUCAGAUAAACUACAAUUAAAAACUAAGAAUUAAUUACCACAUGAAAACCCAAAAAAACUAAAAUAACAAAACAUUUGAGCAAAAGAGUGAGAAUAAAAAAAAAUUCAGAGGAAUCUGAAAUUGUUACCUUUCUCAAAAUUGAAGCUUCAAUUUGUUUUUUCCAAAAUGGAGCUUACUCCGGAUGCUACCAGCAGGAGAAAUUCAUUCCCUGAAAAUCUAACUAAAUGGAGUGUAAGACUUGAUUUUCCUCCUACUGUGAUUAAGAGCUAUGGAGGGAAUGAAAGAAAAAACACACACAACUAUAAACAAAUUGAAGCCAACUACCCACAUCCAUAAAAGAACCCAGGAACAAUGAAAUCCAUGAUAGGAGGAAAAGAAGCCAGAGCGAAAGCAAUUAUCUUGUACAAAAUUGCGAAAGAAUCUAAGAAAAUACAAGUGGAUGUAGUAAGUAAAGGAGAGAGACGGAGAAGACUAUAGAGAAGGGGGGACGUAAGUAUACCCUGACAGGGAUUAAGGCCACGUUAUGACAGUGGCUAGCAGAUUGCUAGACACGUAAGUACCCCGAAAUGCUAAGAGAUUAAAUGGCCAAAAUACCCUCAGCUAUGAAUGUAAUGACUAAAAACAGACACGUCGAAACUCUUUAAGCAUGAUGUAGUAUAACAUAAAAGGCGUCACAAUGGUGGGCAUUCUGAACCUAGAUUUCUUCUCGAGACACAUUACAAAUGCCUCCAUUAUGAAGGCAUAGUUUAGUGGAGACAUCAACUGACAUAACUCGUAGGGUGCUUGCUUAUAGAUCAUGUCUAAGGUUUCUAAUUCUUCAGUAUAUAUCUUCCCUGUAACCAAAGAGGGAAACUAAGAUAAACGCCAGAAUCAUUUAACAUGCUUGAAAUGCAUCAAAAGACAUACCUCUGCCCAAGGUAAAACCAAUUGUUAGUUGACUUCGAGAAGUAGUGGGUCAUCUCCAUUGUGAGCAGGGAGAACUUUUGAUACUGUCAAGUAUAGUCAACAACAGUCAUACCAUCUUAGCUUUAUUGGCCGAUGAAGAUUACCACUAUAAUCAUAACACAGACACUUAACAGCCAAGAGAUUGUUAGAAAGAAAAAUGACCUCCUAUAAUAGGUAUAGUGUCACUGAAGAGAGAACUUGUGAAUGUAUCUAGAUCUUUAUUGGCAGUUUUUCUAGUUCUUGCUUCUCGCUUUAUUGGGUCUCUGGAUUGUAUUCAAAAUUUUAAAUCUUGAAUCAUUGAACCACAUGAUAUUAUCACGCUUGAGGCCUUGUUCUAUCAAUGGUUCAUCCCACAGUAUACACUUACACAUAUGAUAUAUUAAUCCAGCCACGAAAGAGAAAGAAAGAACUUAAAUAGGUGAGAAAACUCACCUUGAAGCCUUGUUCAUACACCUCAGGUAAUUGUAGGCAUCACAACUGAAAAUGCUAUAAUAUUAGACAUAUUUGUCGUCCUCGUACAGUCUCUAAGAUCUGGGAACCUAAACAUCCGUGAGAAAUAUAACUUAAGAGAUAAACUAUAGAGCAUUCAGAAAAAAAAUAAUAUUAAUCAAUUUCGAAAUAAGAAAGAAUCAAUGUAUCAUCUGUUGACAGAAUGCAAGUUUGCAAUUAAAACUACCAUAGAUGGGGAAAGUACUAUAAAGAAGAAAUAAAGAGAUGUGAACUUUAUGUCGUAGCCUUCUUAUGUUCAGCGUUGCGAGAUAAAAGAAUCUGCCGGCUUUAUCAAAUGGCAAAUCAUUGAUAACUAAGCUUGAACAAGCACCCAGAAAAUUAGUCGGAAUGUUUAUUGGUUCAAAAAAUUUUAAAACAGAUUUAAAGCAACCAAAAAUAUUAUCACCUAAAGAGUAUAUAAAGGCCAGCUACUAAUGCUCUCUGUGUGUCUAUGAAUAACAUAUUCCUAUUUCCUAAUAUCAAACCGACAAAAAUUGAGCACUUUUGGCUUUUUAAAACAUGCAAACAUGCUACUGAAAAAAUUAAUUUCUUUGAAUAACAUAUUAGUUGAAAUGUCAAAGUAGUAAAUACAAAUUUCAGUGAUUUCACAAAAUAAAAUAAAUCCAACCAAAAAAAGUUCGAAUUUGAUUGCUAUAUCAACCUUUAAACAAAAGGCAUAGAAGAGUCCUCAACUUUGUUCCUCUUCCACAUGUUUUAUCACUUUCUUCCAAUUUUUGGUCAGAUCUAGGCAUGGAUCAAUAGAGGUGAAAUUUUUCAGUAGGGUUUACCUAAAAAUGGCCGAGAAAACUCCAGCACUAUAAACUUCAAAUUAUUUAUCAAUAAUAUCAAGAAGCGAAACCCUAAGAUUAUUCACUAAUAAGCAAACAAACAGAAGAUCACCAUUUAUCGGAACUACAAUCGUUGGGAUCGUCAAAUCCAUGCACUGGUGAAUUCGUGCUAGCAAAAGAAAUCGAGGAAAGCAUUGAGGGAUUCUGGAUAAAGACGUUGAAAACAGAUGGAUUAGCUAAUUAAGUUCGAGCAUGGCGAUGAAGAAAGAGAGGAGUGGACCACGAAGAAGGGAGAUGAACCAGAGCAACGGUGGCCAAAUGAUACGUGGCUACUUAGGUUAUCUGAAAAGACAACAAUAUCCUUAACUUUUCCUUAAAGGACUUUAAGCACACAUGUCGAAACACUAGCUUUUCUAAUAUAUAUAAAAAAAAAAAUACUUGUGCCCGUUCCCAUUAUUUUCUGAAAUAGAUAGCACAUAGAAGGGCAAUUACAUAUUUCAUCAUGUUUAUGCUAUUGGCAUUUAAUGGAUACAGCAUUCAGUUUACUGGAAACAAUAUUAAGGAG
RNAcentral lists this long non-coding RNA (5466 nucleotides) under Nicotiana tabacum (common tobacco). Its description in RNAcentral is "long non-coding RNA (NTAB_LNC001809)". The record is from RNAcentral. Lineage: Eukaryota; Viridiplantae; Streptophyta; Magnoliopsida; Solanales; Solanaceae.